Molecule: long non-coding RNA, 490 nt
Organism: Amphimedon queenslandica
Lineage: Eukaryota; Metazoa; Porifera; Demospongiae; Haplosclerida; Niphatidae
Exons: 4
Source: RefSeq, a predicted model, not a curated record
GUGUCUGGAUGGCAGCUGAUAAUGGUUGAGUUUUGGAAAAGUCAUGAAAGUGGAAAACAAGCCUUCAGAUUCAAUUUAUCAGAAAUCAGUAAAGCCCAUAGAUAAUAUUUUAAAUCGAAUUAUCUGACCAUACCAUAUACAAAAGCCAUGUAAUGCUGCAGCUGAACAAGUACCGCCAUAAAGUGCUGUCAGUUAAAUGGAGGUGUACGUUAUAGAGAGUGCCCAUUAUGAUCUUAUCUAUACUUAUAUUCAUUCUGCCGUUGAUACAUCAAAAGGUUUUUGCUCUUUGAUUCAAAGGAGUCCUGGAUUCUUGUGAAUAAAAUAAAUUAAAUGAAAACUUGAUUUGCUAAAGCUCCUACGAUGUACGCACCUUUCACAAGCACUUAGUGACAUUAGCUUGUAAGUUGUAAGUAGCUUUUGUGAUGUUUGUCUCUUUAUUAUGGACUAUGAAAGAACUUGGUGUGAACAGAAAUGAAGUGUGCUUCAAAAA